This 119-nucleotide ribosomal RNA is filed under the name Pteropus alecto (black flying fox). The record is from RNAcentral. Lineage: Eukaryota; Metazoa; Chordata; Mammalia; Chiroptera; Pteropodidae.
GUCUACGGCCAUGCCACCCUGAACACGCCCGAUCUCGUCUGACCUCGGAAGCUAAAGCAGGGUCGGGCCUGGUUAGUACUUGGAUGGGAGACUCCUAGGAAGACCAGGUGCUGUAGGCU